Molecule: long non-coding RNA, 1305 nt
Organism: Notolabrus celidotus (New Zealand spotty)
Lineage: Eukaryota; Metazoa; Chordata; Actinopteri; Labriformes; Labridae
Exons: 2
Source: RefSeq, a predicted model, not a curated record
CUCUUGAUGGCUUUUCGUGCCUUCGUUGUGUAUUAAACACAUACGCAGUCUUUCACGAUGCUCUCAAAUAUCUGUGUGAGCAGACUGUAUGUGUUGAUGAGGGCGGUGGCGCUUACGGGCGCUUCCUUCAGGAUGGCUGUGCACAAAGCUGGGUGGGGGAAAAAUCUGAAAAUAGCCACAACAGGAAACUGGACUACACCGCUGCGCAGCAUCAAGACUCACCGGGGAUCGAGCGCAUGACAUGAAUCAUCGACCAACUGUGACGAAAGCACCGGUUUCCGUAGUGUAGUGGUUAUCACGUUCGCCUCACACGCGAAAGGUCCCCAGUUCGAAACUGGGCGGAAACACUUUGAUGCGUUGCUGUUGUUUCCAGUGGAGAUUGCCGCACUUAUCAGAAAGUGGCCAGUCGUAAGGAGUAGGUGUGGGACGGUCGUGAAGCUGCAGGAACGCAUUCUGGAACCAAGUCCGAAACAAAGCAUUUCAGAACUCUCAAUUUAGCGUAUGACAAAGAGGAGGCAAUAUUGCAACUGCCACUCAAACAAGACAGUGUGCUGUACAAACAUCUAACAUCUUCGCAGUCCCACCGAGAUUUGAACUCGGAUCACUGGAUUCAAAGUCCAGAGUGCUCACCAUUACACCAUGGAACCAGCUUGAAGGUUGCGCACGCAGUUGUGAACAUGUUUCUCACUUGACUUCAGCCUACCUACUGUUGCGAUAGAUACUGCCCUGUAACAGGACUGAGCUUAAGUCCAAGCGACCAGAAACCUCAGCUAAGCCAAAGCUGUGUUCACAAACUAAAGGACUAGUAAUAUCAGCAGAGCAAUUGAUACUCAAGUUGUACACAUGAGCAAAGCCAGGUACCUGCAACUGGAUUUUUGUAGAAACUGCUUUGGCCUUCCAUUAGUCUUCCUCCCCACUGCAAGGAGCGAUGUCUUCGUCCUCCAGCCCAAAAGGUUGUUCUUGUUGUUGCCAGGUGAAAACAGUAGCAGUCUGCACCCUGAAUGGAGCCAAAAGGAAUGGAAGCUGCCUCAUCACAAGACUUGAAUAGCAGUUCCCCAACCCUACACCUUCAUAGAGGACUUUUUCUCAUGUCUGCUGGAGACCACCUUCAACAUGGAACUGAAAAUGCCUCCUCUUAGCAUCUUUAUUUUUCUGUGUCAAAGCAGAUUAUUUUGCAUGUUUUAUCUUCAGACUAUUUACCCGUAAAUUAUGCACCAUGUUACUGUUGGUGAUUGUUGUAAACAUCAUUGUCAAUGUUUUUUUGUGUUGUUUACUUCAAUUUUCAAUAAAGACACAUUUUCUGUA